Molecule: long non-coding RNA, 5190 nt
Filed under: Piliocolobus tephrosceles (Ugandan red Colobus)
Lineage: Eukaryota; Metazoa; Chordata; Mammalia; Primates; Cercopithecidae
Description: lncRNA (ENSPTEG00000003771.1)
Source: RNAcentral
UCAUUUGUACAUACAAAGUUUUAUGUACGCGCUUUCUUAUCAAAUCAUUUAUAUGUAUAAAUAAUAAUCUAAUUGUAUGUUAUUAUAUGUACGUAAUUAUAUGCAUACUUGUUAGUGUAUAUAUAUAUAUAUAUAUAUAUAUAUAUCAUUAGGCUAGUACAUUAUUUGAAAUAGAUACAUAAAUAUAUACAUGUACAGAUAGAUAUAUAACUACAUAUUGUACACGUUUUGUAAAAAAAAAAAAAAACUUGUAACAAAAAUGUAAGCACAAAUCAAUAUAAAUAAAAAAAAAAAAAAAAUUGUAUAUGAUUUUUUAUAUAAUUUAUGUCAGUUUUUUUAGAUAGAUGUUCAUGCAAGUGUACAUAAACAAGUCAUUUUUUUUUUUUUUUUUUUCUUUUUUUUUCUUUUUUUUGAAUAAAGGUUAUACAAGACACAGCUUUGUUCAUUUUAUGCAAAAGGAAUAUGUGCAAGAGGGAACAGAUGCAGUUGGGCUCAUGGGGAGCUGGAUGUUAGGCCUAUGCCUAAAUUUUACAAAGUAAUUUUUGUUCAUUUUGUUCAUUUUUUUAACAACCAUUUUAUAACUUAUAACUUGUUAUUGUAAACGAUCUCCAUUCUAAUACGUUUUUUUUUUUUUUUUUUUCAUGCAGACUAGAAUGUGUUACACGUUUUUAUCUGGUAGCUACUGUGAAGCCUCUAAAUGUACGUUCGCACACACAGAAGAAGAAUUAAGAGGUUCAGGAAAGGCUUUGAGAUUAUGUACAAAGUAUUUUUUAGAUGGUUAGUACAUUUGAAAUGUAUAUAUAUUUACAUGUGUAUAUGUUCACGGACUUGGAAAUAUUUACCUAUUGUUAUGUUCACCUUAUAAAGCAUUGUUGAUUUUUUUUUUUAUUCCAGUAUGCACACAUGUGUAAAUAUAUAUAUAUAUAUAUAUAUAUGCAGGCUACUGUAAUAAAGCUGACAAAUGUCCUAUGGCUCAUAACAUAAACCAACUAGACCCAUCAGUUAAAUUUUCAUCAACAGAAUUAAUGAGUAAGGUUUAUUCGAAUGAAGAUAAUGUAUAUUAUAAUAAUAAUCAUAAUAUUGAUGUGUCAAAGAAUGAUAAUAAGGAAAAUGAAGGUGAUGACCGUAAAAACAGUAGUAGAAGUAGUAGUACUCAUAAUAACUACAACAUACAUGGAGGACAUAGCAGCCACAGCUGUCAGAACACCCAUAACAGUCACAAUAAUAGUAAUAAUGGUGUAUUUGAAAUAACCAAUGAAUUGGAUGAUGUGAGCGUAAAAAAGCAUUUAAAGGAUUAUCACAUUAUGAACAAUUUGAAUAAUGAAAAUGAUAAAAACGAUAUUGAUGAUUCUAAAAAAAAUAGUUAUAAGAUUUAUAGAAAUUGUGAGAAAAAAAUGUAUAAAGAUUAUUUAUUAAACGAUAACCAGGCGAAUGACUACUUUGAUGAAAUAAAAAAGGGAAAUGAGUUCACAUAUUACAACAAAACCGAUGGUCGUACAAACAGUGGAGAGUCCGCUCGAAGUAAACACAUGAAAGUAAACAAUGGGUUUAUGAAAAAUGGUUACUCUAAACAUAAUGAGUAUUCUAGAACUAAUGUUAAACCAUUAACGAACGAGUUCAUAUUCAACGAAAAUGGAAUAACAAAUGAUAGAAAAGGUAUAAAAAAUAGUAAGUUAUAUUCUUAUAAUAAGAACGUUGAAAACAAUAUGCGUUUUUUAAAUAAUUAUGAAAAUUAUGAUAGCUACGAGAAUUAUGAGAAUUAUAAUAAUUAUGAUAAUAUAAAAAGUGUAAAUAUAGGAAAUGAAAAACUACUAGCAGAUGGUUAUUACAAAAAUAGUUUGAACAUUCAAGAAAAUAUGGAUUCUGUCGUUUCUGCUACUACUAAUCCUGCUUCUGCUGCUGCUGCUGCUGCUAGUGGUAAUAACAAUAGUAGUAGUAGUAGUAGUAGUAUUAGUAGCAACUGUAAUAAUAAAACUAUAACACAAGACUUGGAUCAUAAAAUAAUGGAAAUACGAAAAUAUAAUGAGAGUAUGAUUAAUCAUUCUUCUAAUAAUAAUUAUAACUUACAUUGCAAUAUGGAAAUAAAAAACGUAAAUAAGAAUGAACAAAAUUUAAAAGGAAAUCAAUAUUCGUAUAAAAAAUAUAAUAGAAAUGACAAUUUUGAUACUAUUAUGUUUGAUUCGAAUACAACUAAUUAUGAUGAACGUUUUAAAACUAAUUCAAAUAAUUAUAACGAAACUAAAUUUAUAAAUUUGAAUAAAACGAAAGAUAACUUAGAUUUAUCUGGUGACAGUAAUAUAUAUUUUGAUUAUAAGCGAGGGAUAUGUGCUGACAAAAGUAUGAGUAAUGAAAAUUGUACAUAUGACAUGGAUUGUAUAAACCAUUCUAGCAUUAACCAUAUGAAGCAUCGACACGGUAGUAGUAAUCGUAGUAGCAUGCAUACUUUGCAUACUUUACAUAACAUGCAUAACAUAAAUAACACCCACAGCAAUACUAGUCACACUCAUAGUGAUAAUAAUACUACCCACAUGCUCACUACGAAUUUUGACUUAGACAACUUAGUAUAUAGUAUAAAUAAUAUGAGCUUAAAUGAAACGAACAAAAUAAACUCAGACCAAAAUAACAAAAGUAUGUUUUACACCUUAAAUAAAUUAAACAACAAUGAACAAUUAUUAGAAUUUGAAAAAACAAUAAUAGAUGAAUUUAAAGAGGAAAAAAUAAAUACAUUUGACUCGGAGCAAUUAAAUGGUGAAUACUAUUUGCGUUAUAAUAGUAACUCAGCAUAUAAUUUAAAAAAAAUAUUUUUAAAUAAUACUAAUAGUAAUAAUAACAAUAAUAGUAACCAUAGUAACCAUAGUAAUAAUAGUAAUAAUAGUCAUAAUAUUAAUAAUAGUAAUAAUAUUAAUAAUAGUAAUAAUAGUCAUAAUAUUAAUAAUAGUAAUAAUAGUCAUAAUAGUAAUAAUAAUAAUAAUAAUAAUAUAACAUAUGAACAAGCAAACAAAUUUAGCGAAUUAAAGAAUGAAUCAUUAAUAAGUCCUAAAAAUUGUCAUAAUCAAUAUAUGAAUGACAAUAACAAUAAUAAUACUAAUGAAACGAUUAAUAAUUAUCUAUUUAAUAAUGAUUAUAAUAUUUUGAAAGUUAAUAAUUUAUAUAAUAGUAUAAAUUGUAUUAAUACAAGUGAUAGCGUGAGGGACUCUAUGAAAAAUGCAAAUAACAUUGGUGUUAGUAACAUAGAAAAUACAAACUUCUUGAGUCGACCAGAACAUGUCGUAGAUCAUAAUAAUGAUAAUGAUACCGUAUUGAAUGGUGGUAAUAUGACCAUAUUAAAAAAUAGUAUAUGUGAUUUUGAAAAAAGUAAAAAAGGAAUUAAUCAUGAUAUGAACAACACUAUUAACAUACGAAACCUUACCUUGUUUAACAACAUGAACUGUAUUAAUAAUAAAAUGAAGAUAAAAAACGACCAUAAUGAUAUGUAUAUAUAUAAUAAUAACCAAUUUAAUCAUAAUAGUAAUAGUGCCAGUAAUAAUGUAAGUAACAAUAACAGUGGAAAUAUAACUGGUUCUUGUAUAAUAGUAGGUAACCAAAACUGUAUGAAUGAUGAAAUGCAGAACGUACAAAAAAAAAUAUUGCAAAACGAAAUAAACGAAGAAAAUUGUAUUAACAGUAACAGCAAUAACGCGAGUAAUAAUAAUUAUUUGAAAUGUAACAUAAAUAAUAAUAUACAAAGAAACGUAAUUUUAAAUAAAAAAAAUUUUUUUAUAAAUAAUGACAUCCAUAUAAAUGGCACUGAAAAAUUAUUAAGUGAUAUAAAUAGUGAACUAGCUGAAGAUAAUACAUCUAAUGACGUUUUAUUAACAAGUUACACUAAUAAUAAUAAUAAUAAUAGUAGUAAUAGUAGUAAACAUAGUAGUAAUAAUAUGAAUGACACAUUUUAUAGUAACACUUGCAAAAAACCUAGUUACAAUAAUUUAUAUAAUAGCUAUGAAAAUAACAACUACAAUAAAGAGAACAACAGUAAUAAAGAAGACAGUUUCAACAACUUAGAUUUUAAAAAUAACAUGUGUAUUUUAAACAAGCAUAAGGUGAAUUUUACUAAUAAUAUGGAUCCGAAUAGAAGAAGAAGUGAUAAUAGAAGUGAUAAUAGUACUCAAAAUAAAUUAAACAAUUUAGAAACAACCUUAGUAAACUUGCAAAAUAUAGAAUCUUAUAUGAUGCAUGCUUCGUAUAAUAAUGGUACUGUUACUAAUGGUGUUAAUAACAAUGCAGGAAAUAACAACACCAAUGUUGAAAAAUUAUUUUUAAAUAAAAAAUAUAUUGAAAAACUAAACAGUAUAUGUAAGAAUGACAAAGAAAUGAACAACAUGAAUGAAAUAAGUGUGCUGAAUGGUGCUUGUGGCAAAAAGAAAAUGAAUUCUAAUAAUUUUAAUAAUUUUAAUAAUUUUAAUGAAAAAAUUAAUGCGUCGUUAGGUAUGUAUAUAUCGGGAGCUAAUAGUGUAAACGGGAGUGCAAACGGAAAUGCAAACGGAAAUGCAAACGGAAAUGCAAACGGAAAUGCAAACGGAAACACAGACGCAAACACAGACGCAAACCCAGACGCAAACACAGACGCAAACACAGACGCAAACACAAACCCAGCCUCCAAUACUGCUAACAAUACUGCUAACAAUGACAAUGAUGGUUUUUAUUUAACUGAUUAUAAUAACGUAAAUCCAUCUCAGAUAAGCAAGUACAAUUAUGUUAAUAAUUUUAUUGAAAAUGAUAAGAUUUGUUAUGCAGGAAAUGAUUUAGACCUAUAUGAAGUGUCAUAUAAAAAUGAUGAUAAUUUUGCAAACUGUAUUUAUAACAAUAAAAAUUUAGUUGCUAAUACAAAAAAAAAUAAAAAGAAUACUAUAAACUUAGAUGAAAUUAACAAUACUGGCACAAGUGGUUCUAGUGUAAGUGAUACCAGUAUAAAUGGCAAUACAACAACAACAACAGCAACUACUACUACUAAUACUACUAAUACUAAUACUACUAAUAUUACUACUAAUACUAUUACUAAUAAUACUACUACUGCUGAAAGUACUAAUCAUACCAAUGGUUUACAUUUAAAUAACAAAAGUAGUAAACACCAGAUGAAUAGCUAUAACCCCUUGACUUAUAGUUUUAGUGGUCUUUGUGAAUGUUUAGGUAAAACAGAUGAAGCAAAAA